RNAcentral lists this ribosomal RNA (322 nucleotides) under uncultured Bacillota bacterium. RNAcentral's name for it is "bacterial SSU rRNA". It matches the Rfam family "Bacterial small subunit ribosomal RNA", at positions 28 to 351 of the family's 1533-position model. Lineage: Bacteria; Bacillati; Bacillota. The record is from RNAcentral.
GACGAACGCUGGCGGCGUGCUUAACACAUGCAAGUCGAACGGAGAUUGCAGUAAUGUAAUCUUAGUGGCGGACGGGUGAGUAACACGUGGGCAACCUGCCUUUAACUGGGGGAUAACGCUGGGAAACUAGUGCUAAUACCGCAUAACAUCAUGAUAUGGCAUCAUAUUAUGAUCAAAGGAGCAAUCCGGUGAAAGAUGGGCCCGCGUCCGAUUAGCUAGUUGGUGAGGUAAUGGCUCACCAAGGCGACGAUCGGUAGCCGAACUGAGAGGUUGAUCGGCCACAUUGGGACUGAGACACGGCCCAGACUCCUACGGGAGGCAG